CUUCUGGUACAUGUUACUCGGUAAUGUAUCUCGGUCCCACUCGGAUGGCCGCAGCAUCCUUUCCUGCUGGGAUGGCGUUAGCUGCUCGCUGUACUCCCAGAAGUAUCUCCGCUUGCCUCUUUUUCGAGAGGUUAUUGCAGUCAUUUCUUUUAAAUCCUCCACAGAAUCAUUUUCGUACCCUGGUUCUGAGAAAGUAUCACUGAUGUCAUCGUCCUUAUCAUCCUCAUAAUCUUCUUCCUCAUCAUCGUUUUCAGACAGCUCAUGCUCACUGCCAAAUCCUUCAUCAUGAUCCUCAUCUUCA
RNAcentral lists this long non-coding RNA (301 nucleotides) under Gallus gallus (chicken). The record is from RNAcentral. Lineage: Eukaryota; Metazoa; Chordata; Aves; Galliformes; Phasianidae.